UAUUCCUUAGAACCCCAUGUUUACAAAUUAUAAAUAUCCCAUACACCUGUUGAUCUGUGGAUUUUCUUACGACUCAACAAAAUAGCCUUUUCAACAUCUCAAUCUAGCAGUAAACUUGCAGUUUUUCUGUGAAUAGCCUUUUCAUGCUUUAAUUUGCUGUUGCAUUUUUUCAUUUUUCCUUAAAACCAGAGGAUUUUAACCUUGAAAAUGCUGGAUAAUAGAUUCCUGGAUGAAGCUCCAUCAUACGAGGACCAAUUAUCAGAAGAUGAGAUCGAGGAUGUGGUUCAUGCUGUUAAGCUCUCUCUUCAAGAAUCGGAGAGAAAACAAAUAUACAUGGGUGAUGAGGAGUCAUCCCAGAUUGAUGAGGCAGAAGAGCUUGCAAAAGCAUUGGAACAAAGCAUAAUAUCCUCUAAAGAGUCGAGCACCAGUACUGGAUGCAUAGGACUGAAAUGGUGGAAGGUUUUCAAGGAGUAUAAGCCAUUUGGACAUACAUCAAAGGGCACUUCUUCGCCGAGCAAAAGUAGGCAGCGGCGAAAUAUUACUGUUUGUGAUGUUUGUGAGGAACAGAUUCGCUCGGCGUGGUUAAGGUGUUACUGGGGCCAGACAUACUGUGAAAAGCAUAUAUCUGAUGGAACUCCUACAUGCUGUAGCUGCUACAGACUCAAGUUAGGAGAUAUGAAAUAUAUCACUCUGAGUGAUGGUCGGAAACUUUGCCCUGACUGUCGUCAUACGGCCGUGAUGGAUCCUGAAGAAUGUAAGCCCCUUCUUAAUGAAGUGCAUAGAUUUUUCAAAGGAUUAAACAUGGAAAUCAGAUGCUACAUUCCAGUUCUGUUAGUUGAUGAAGAAGAGAUGAUCAGAAUCUUUAACAAGAGAGCACUUGGCCUGACUACUUUUGAGCGUUACCGAUUUGAGGCCAGAACUUAUGUGACAAGAUCAAUACAAAAGGGUGACGAUGUUGAAGUGGUAAAAGACGUAUAUCACCUGCUCCCAGGACACAGAGUGACAUCAAUCCAGCUUCUAUAUGGCUAUCCCAAGUUGGCCUUGGGAGCAACCUUGGCUCAUGAAAUGAUGCACGCUUGGAUGCAGAUUCAAGGUGAUCCUUGGCUAGUUGAUCUUGUCUAAUAUAAUCAGCUGUAGCAUUUGUUUUAUCAUUUAUGUUGAAAAAGACUAAAAAGAAAUCAAAGCAAACUUAAUUAUGGAAUCACAUUCCUCAAAACCUAGUUUUAGUUCGACAAAAGAGAAGAAACAUAAGAAAUUUUCCUUCUCACCAACUUUACCUCUCAAUUCUCAAACCAAAGGAAAGAAAGAAAACAUUGCUUCCUAAGUCUCUUUUUGUUGAGAAUAUAGUUAAAUAUUAAAAGUGUGUUCUCUCUAACAGUUUAAGCUUUUAGAUGAGAUGGUCAUACACUUCAACAUGGUAACAAAGCAGGCCAAAAGUCCUGUGAUCAAAUCUCACCGCCACCCAUUAUCAAAAUAGGCUACAGAGGAGGAAUACCACUACAUAUUGAAGAAGGUAUUUGUGAAGUCAUGUCUCACAAGUGGAUAGAAUGGCAUGCUUUUGUUGGUGAUGAGUUUAUGAAUGGUACAAGUGAAGAAGCUCAAUUCUUGAGAC
Molecule: RNA transcript, 1612 nt
Organism: Lycium barbarum (goji berry)
Lineage: Eukaryota; Viridiplantae; Streptophyta; Magnoliopsida; Solanales; Solanaceae
Gene name: protein DA1-related 1-like
Exons: 11
Source: RefSeq, a predicted model, not a curated record